This 719-nucleotide ribosomal RNA is filed under the name uncultured bacterium. RNAcentral's name for it is "bacterial SSU rRNA". It matches the Rfam family "Bacterial small subunit ribosomal RNA", at positions 725 to 1419 of the family's 1533-position model. The record is from RNAcentral.
CUCUUUGGGACAUUACUGACGCUGAGGUUCGAAAGCUAGGGUCGCGAAACGGAUUAGAUACCCGUGUAGUCCUAGCUGUAAACGCUCUCUGCUAGUUGUUUGUCUUAUUUGAAAUUAUCCUUCGGGAUGAUUCCAAAUGGAUGAGUGACCCAGCUAACGCAUUAAGCAGAGCGCCUGGGGAGUACGAGCGCAAGCUUAAGACUCAAAGGAAUUGACGGGGACCCGCACAAGCGGUGGAGCGCCUGGUUUAAUUCGAUGCUAAGCGAAGAACCUUACCAAGGCUUGAACUGUAGCUGCAAACCCUAUGAAAAUAGGGCUUCCUUCGAGGGUGCUACAGAGGUGCUGCAUGGCUGUCGUCAGCUCGUGUCGUGAGGUGUUGGGUUAAGUCCCGCAACGAGCGCAACCCACGUCCUUAGUUGCCAUCAUUAAGUUGGGCACUCUGGGGAGACUGCCGGGGACAACUCGGAGGAAGGUGUGGAUGACGUCAAGUCAUCAUGCCCCUUACGUUCUGGGCUACACACGUACUACAAUGCUUCGGACAAAGAGCAGCCAACUAGCGAUAGUGAGCUAAUCUCAUAAACCGAGGCACAGUUCAGAUUGCAGGCUGCAACUCGCCUGCAUGAAGGAGGAAUCGCUAGUAAUCGCCGGUCAGCAUACGGCGGUGAAUACGUUCCCGGGCCUUGUACACACCGCCCGUCACACCAUGGGAGUUGGCCACG